Long non-coding RNA from Gallus gallus (chicken), 719 nucleotides. NCBI's taxonomy places the organism in Eukaryota, Metazoa, Chordata, Aves, Galliformes, Phasianidae. The record is from Ensembl.
GAAGGGACCUUUAAAGACCAUCUGGUCCCAUUCCACGCACUGGACAGGAACACCUGCAGGUGCUCAGAGGCCCCCAGCCAGACUGCAGGGAGAUCCUGGGGAUCCCUAUAGGAGCUGGCAGGAAACAUCACACUGGGAAACCCCACCUGGCUGAGGGUCCCCGGGUGGCUGCACUGUUCUCUGAGAAUCACUGUGCUCUCUGCAACCUCUGCCAGCAGUCCUCCCACCACUAUUUAUUGCAGUUUCCAGACCACCUGCAGGCCCCCUGAGCUCUGCGUGAGGGCAGAUUUGCGGCGGCCACGGAUCAAUAUGACCUUCUGUUUUAUGAAUGGGGGAAGGGAAUUUAUUUGGAGGCAGAGCAUCCACAGCACAUCGUGGUUUGGGGCUUCUAGCUGUGAACUUCAGCCUCAGGUAAUGGGGCAAAGCAGCGCUGUGCAGAUAUCCUGCCCACGUGGAGCAGCAAUGCAGAAUUUGGCUACGUGUGUUUCUCCACUGCUCCAUCGCUCCCCAUCCCUGUGUCCACUGUCAGAUUUUGUGUCUCAGUUCCUACAGUUACAGAUUCAGGGACUGAAGGAAUAAUGGCUACUGGGACCCCAUCAGGAAAAAAAAAAAAGAAGUGCCGUAAGAUUUUUGGCCAUAAGAGGUUUAAGAACUUCCACAGCUGAACGAAUCAGCGUCCCCUAACUGACAGAGGAUAAUGGAUUUAAUAAAUAGCUAUG